GACGAACGCUGGCGGCGUGCUUAACACAUGCAAGUCGAACGGAAAGGCCCUGCUUUUGUGGGGUGCUCGAGUGGCGAACGGGUGAGUAGCACGUGAGUAACCUGCCCUUGACUUUGGGAUAACUUCAGGAAACUGGGGCUAAUACCGGAUAGGAGCUCCUGCUGCAUGGUGGGGGUUGGAAAGUUUCGGCGGUUGGGGAUGGACUCGCGGCUUAUCAGCUUGUUGGUGGGGUAGUGGCUUACCAAGGCUUUGACGGGUAGCCGGCCUGAGAGGGUGACCGGCCACAUUGGGACUGAGAUACGGCGCAGACUCCUACGGGAGGCAGCAGUGGGGAAUAUUGCACAAUGGGCGGAAGCCUGAUGCAGCAACGCCGCGUGCGGGAUGACGGCCUUCGGGUUGUAAACCGCUUUCGCCUGUGACGAAGCGUGAGUGACGGUAAUGGGUAAAGAAGCACCGGCUAACUACGUG
RNAcentral lists this ribosomal RNA (468 nucleotides) under uncultured bacterium. Its description in RNAcentral is "partial 16S ribosomal RNA". It matches the Rfam family "Bacterial small subunit ribosomal RNA", at positions 28 to 507 of the family's 1533-position model. The record is from RNAcentral.